This 496-nucleotide ribosomal RNA is filed under the name uncultured bacterium. Its description in RNAcentral is "partial 16S ribosomal RNA". It matches the Rfam family "Bacterial small subunit ribosomal RNA", at positions 28 to 506 of the family's 1533-position model. The record is from RNAcentral.
GAUGAACGCUGGCGGCGUGCCUAAUACAUGCAAGUCGAGCGAACAGACGAGGAGCUUGCUCCUCUGACGUUAGCGGCGGACGGGUGAGUAACACGUGGAUAACCUACCUAUAAGACUGGGAUAACUUCGGGAAACCGGAGCUAAUACCGGAUAAUAUAUUGAACCGCAUGGUUCAAUAGUGAAAGACGGUUUUGCUGUCACUUAUAGAUGGAUCCGCGCCGCAUUAGCUAGUUGGUAAGGUAACGGCUUACCAAGGCAACGCUGCGUAGCCGACCUGAGAGGGUGAUCGGCCACACUGGAACUGAGACACGGUCCAGACUCCUACGGGAGGCAGCAGUAGGGAAUCUUCCGCAAUGGGCGAAAGCUUGACGGAGCAACGCCGCGUGAGUGAUGAAGGUCUUCGGAUCGUAAAACUCUGUUAUUAGGGAAGAACAAAUGUGUAAGUAACUAUGCACGUCUUGACGGUACCUAAUCAGAAAGCCACGGCUAACUACGU